CACAGUUUAUCUUCUUAAACAUUUAUUUUAAACCUAACCUUAAGCCUAGCCCCAACUUUAAAUUAAGACCAAAAAUAUCAAUUUUGUUUUCAUUAAUUUGUACAAUAUAGCCAAUUCUGACUUUGUAGCUGUGGUAGCUAGUGGAAAGCCCAAGUGGUCCCCAGUCGCUAUUCAUUGACGUCGCGGUAUUAUGUACUGUAUUUUCCUGCUUUCUUUUUUUCUUGUAGCUAGCCUGCUAGCUAGUUGACAACAAUGGGCGAUAGUGAGCAGGUAGAGUGGACGUUUAUGAAAUUAUACCUUAACGAUAUUGGAAACACUCUUUCAGAUAAAUCUGGAACACGGAUGUCGAAAAGAAGAAUGGCUGAACGAACCAGAGGUAACUCAUUUCUGUUUUUUAAGACUACAAGCUGGGGAGCUCUAUAGGGUCUGGUUCCAGCAGAUACCUUCUCACGCCACAGACGCAGUGAGACAUAUGGGAUGAGACAGGAUGUUGAAUGGUGCUAGUUUGUACUAGCUAGAGUGUGUGCUAGGUAGGUAGUUUGUACUAGCUAGAGUGUGUGCUAGGUAGGUAGUUUGAACUAGCUAGGUAGGUAGUUUGUGGUAGGUAAUUUGAACUAGCUAGGUAGGUAGUUUGUACUAGCUAGAGUGUCUGCUAGGUAGGUAGUUUGUACUAGCUAGAGUGUCUGCUAGGUAGGUAGUUUGUACUAGCUAGAGUGUCUGCUAGGUAGGUAGUUUGUACUAGCUAGAGUGUCUGCUAGGUAGGUAGUUUGUACUAGCUAGAGUGUGUGC
RNAcentral lists this long non-coding RNA (789 nucleotides) under Salmo salar (Atlantic salmon). RNAcentral's name for it is "lncRNA (ENSSSAG00000095790.1)". Lineage: Eukaryota; Metazoa; Chordata; Actinopteri; Salmoniformes; Salmonidae. The record is from RNAcentral.